This 262-nucleotide ribosomal RNA is filed under the name uncultured bacterium. RNAcentral's name for it is "partial 16S ribosomal RNA". It matches the Rfam family "Bacterial small subunit ribosomal RNA", at positions 335 to 593 of the family's 1533-position model. The record is from RNAcentral.
UUCCCUACGGGGGGCAGCAGUGAGGAAUAUUGGUCAAUGGGCGAGAGCCUGAACCAGCCAAGUCGCGUGAAGGAUGACGGCCCUACGGGUUGUAAACUUCUUUUGUCAGGGAGCAAUUGGGUCCACGCGUGGGCUUAGCGAGAGUACCUGAAGAAAAAGCAUCGGCUAACUCCGUGCCAGCAGCCGCGGUAAUACGUAGGGUGCGAGCGUUUAUCGGAAUUACUGGGCGUAAAGGGUGUGCAGGCGGUUUUUCAAGAUGGAU